GAACGGGUGAGUAAUGCAUCGGAACGUACCCAGUAGUGGGGGAUAACUUACCGAAAGGUAAGCUAAUACCGCAUACGCACUGAGGUGGAAAGCAGGGGACCGCAAGGCCUUGCGCUAUUGGAGCGGCCGAUGUCGGAUUAGCUAGUUGGUGGGGUAAAGGCCUACCAAGGCGACGAUCCGUAGCGGGUCUGAGAGGAUGAUCCGCCACACUGGAACUGAGACACGGUCCAGACUCCUACGGGAGGCAGCAGUGGGGAAUUUUGGACAAUGGGCGCAAGCCUGAUCCAGCCAUGCCGCGUGAGUGAAGAAGGCCUUGCGGGUUGUAAAGCUCUUUCGCGCCGGGAAGAAAUCGUGGUGGCGAAUACCCUGCCAUGGAUGACGGUACCGGACUAAGAAGCACCGGCUAACUUACGUGCCAGCAGCCCGCGGUAAUACGUAGGGUGCGAGCGUUAAUCGGAAUUACUGGGCGUAAAGCGUGCGCAGGCGGUUGUGUAAGACAGGCGUGAAAUCCCCGGGCUCAACCUGGGAACUGCGCUUGUGACUGCACGGCUAGAGUACGGCAGAGGGGGGUGGAAUUCCACGUGUAGCAGUGAAAUGCGUAGAGAUGUGGAGGAACACCGAUGGCGAAGGCAGCCCCCUGGGUCGAUACUGACGCUCAUGCACGAAAGCGUGGGGAGCAAACAGGAUUAGAUACCCUGGUAGUCCACGCCCUAAACGAUGUCGACUAGUUGUUGGAGGGGUAAAACCCUUUAGUAACGUAGCUAACGCGUGAAGUCGACCGCCUGGGGAGUACGGCCGCAAGGUUAAAACUCAAAGGAAUUGACGGGGACCCGCACAAGCGGUGGAUGAUGUGGAUUAAUUCGAUGCAACGCGAAAAACCUUACCUACCCUUGACAU
This 897-nucleotide ribosomal RNA is filed under the name uncultured bacterium. Its description in RNAcentral is "bacterial SSU rRNA". It matches the Rfam family "Bacterial small subunit ribosomal RNA", at positions 100 to 987 of the family's 1533-position model. The record is from RNAcentral.